Molecule: long non-coding RNA, 296 nt
Organism: Jatropha curcas
Lineage: Eukaryota; Viridiplantae; Streptophyta; Magnoliopsida; Malpighiales; Euphorbiaceae
Source: RefSeq, a predicted model, not a curated record
CAUAUAGUUGCAAAUAAUCAUGUUAUUACAAUUCAAAUUUGGCUUGCUGAUUUAUUACUAUAAAUAAGAGUACUCGAAGAAACACAUAAUUGCAAACAAAAAUAUAGAAUCAUCUCCAACAUGAAGAAGGCCUUUCUCCUGAUUUGCAUUCUUUUGGCUACCAUUUCCUUUUCCCCUUCUCUCACUUCAGCUAGGGAAUUAGCUGCUAUUGGGAAAGAUGCAAGAAUACCAAUUCCAAAAUGGUGGCCAAUCAAAGGUAAGCCCAAAAACCUACCAUUUGGAUGCAGCCGUGGGAA